This is a long non-coding RNA of Limulus polyphemus (Atlantic horseshoe crab), 698 nucleotides long. RefSeq lists it as uncharacterized. The transcript is spliced from 5 exons. The record is from RefSeq and is a predicted model, not a curated record. NCBI's taxonomy places the organism in Eukaryota, Metazoa, Arthropoda, Merostomata, Xiphosura, Limulidae.
UGAAGGUAAAAAGAGUGUAGUUGAAGUUCAAUGGUCAGAGUGUGGUUUAAAAUCAGGAGGCAAAGGUGAACUAAGAAAGAAAAAUCCAAAGUGGACUCCCUGUCCAGCUUAUAUUUUGGCAGUUGAGUAAUACAAGUGUGAUGAAAGAAAUAAGAAAAAGCAUUCUACAGCCAUGGUACAAAUACUGUAGAAGAAGAAAUCCAGUUAUUUAAAUGUGGAUAUUUACCAGACCUGUUGAGUCAAGUAAAGAACUAAAGCAAGAACUUUCUAAAACAAAUGUGUUUUAAGAAUCCUGAUUACAGAUUGAUAGUGUGACUGAUAAUUCUGAAAUUACUAGAAAAAGUUGUGGUUCAACAUCAGUGACAUCUUCACCUACAAUAUUUAGGACUUAUAAUAGUGUGAAGGAAAUAGUUGACCUCAGUAGGAAAAUUCAAAUAGCAAAGAAGAAGUUACAGUUAUGCAAUGAUAGUGACAUAACAAAAUUAGUGUCAGACAUGCUAAGAAUUUUUCACAUGCCAAAAGAGUUGUAAAAAAAUAUCAUUGACAGGAAUUUAGUCAAAUGCAUACAAAGGAAAAGAAAUGAAAGAACCACUUGCUAAAGACAUCAUUGAUGCCAUUAUAACAUAUACAACAAAGAAACUGGCAGCAACAGAAGGGGAUGUGAAGAAAGCAAUAUCAGCCAAGUUAAAUAAUGAUGC